RNAcentral lists this ribosomal RNA (544 nucleotides) under uncultured Glomeromycotina. RNAcentral's name for it is "SSU rRNA". It matches the Rfam family "Eukaryotic small subunit ribosomal RNA", at positions 548 to 1098 of the family's 1831-position model. The record is from RNAcentral. Lineage: Eukaryota; Fungi; Glomeromycota.
UUGGAGGGCAAGUCUGGUGCCAGCAGCCGCGGUAAUUCCAGCUCCAAUAGCGUAUAUUAAAGUUGUUGCAGUUAAAAAGCUCGUAGUUGAAUUUCGGGGUUCUACCGUUGGUCGGGCUUUGUCUGUACUGGUGUGUAGAAUUUCUACCUUCUGGGGAACCAUCAUGCUAUUAAUUUAGCGUGGUGGGAAACCAGGACCUUUACCUUGAAAAAAUUAGUGUGUUCAAAGCAGGCUUAUGUCUGAAUACAUUAGCGUGGAAUAAUAGAAUAGGACGGUGGUCCUGUUUUGUUGGUUUCUGAAUCACCGUAAUGAUUAAUAGGGAUAGUUGGGGGCAUUAGUAUUCAAUUGUCAGAGGUGAAAUUCUUGGAUCUAUUGAAGACUAACUUCUGCGAAAGCAUUUGCCAAGGAUGUUUUCAUUAAUCAUGAACGAAAGUUAGGGGAUCGAAGACGAUCAGAUACCGUCGUAGUCUUAACCAUAAACUAUGCCGAUUAGGGAUCGGACGAUGUUAAUUUUUCUUGACUCGUUCGGCGCCUUACGGGAAAC